This 449-nucleotide ribosomal RNA is filed under the name uncultured bacterium. RNAcentral's name for it is "bacterial SSU rRNA". It matches the Rfam family "Bacterial small subunit ribosomal RNA", at positions 354 to 796 of the family's 1533-position model. The record is from RNAcentral.
GUGGGGAAUUGUUCGCAAUGGGCGCAAGCCUGACGACGCAACGCCGCGUGGAGGAUGAAGGUCUUCGGAUUGUAAACUCCUGUUGCUCGGGACGAAAAGCUUCGACCUAACACGUCGAAGUCUGACGGUACCGGGUGAGGAAGCCCCGGCUAACUCUGUGCCAGCAGCCGCGGUAAUACAGAGGGGGCAAGCGUUGUUCGGAAUUACUGGGCGUAAAGGGCGCGUAGGCGGCCCGCUAAGUCGAACGUGAAAUCCCCGGGCUCAACCCGGGAACUGCGUCCGAUACUGGCAGGCUUGAAUCCGGGAGAGGGAUGCGGAAUUCCAGGUGUAGCGGUGAAAUGCGUAGAUAUCUGGAGGAACACCGGUGGCGAAGGCGGCAUCCUGGACCGGCAUUGACGCUGAGGCGCGAAAGCCAGGGGAGCAAACGGGAUUAGAAACCCCAGUAGUCC